Non-coding RNA from Podarcis lilfordi (Lilford's wall lizard), 88 nucleotides. Lineage: Eukaryota; Metazoa; Chordata; Lepidosauria; Squamata; Lacertidae. The record is from the annotation of a GenBank genome assembly.
UAAUGCAAAGCAGAAGGAGCAAUUUUACUGGUAUAUAUACACAUAUAUACAUGCACAUCGGUAAAAUUGCUCCUGCUACUUUGCAUUA